Small nuclear RNA from Protopterus annectens (West African lungfish), 195 nucleotides. RefSeq annotates it as U2 spliceosomal RNA. The record is from RefSeq and is a predicted model, not a curated record. NCBI's taxonomy places the organism in Eukaryota, Metazoa, Chordata, Ceratodontiformes, Protopteridae. The transcript has a single exon.
ACCGCGUCUCAGCCUUUUGGCUAAGAUCAAGUGUAGUAUCGGUUCUUAUCAGUUUAAUAUCUGAUAUGUCCCUUAUCUGGGAACCACAUAUUGUAUUAUUUUUUAGAAUAGGGAGAUAGAAUAGGAGCUUGCUCCAUCCACUCUACACAUCAUGCAGUGUGCAGUAGUGCAGCGGUUAGCAUUGGUGCCUUAUAA